RNAcentral lists this long non-coding RNA (494 nucleotides) under Zonotrichia albicollis (white-throated sparrow). RNAcentral's name for it is "lncRNA (ENSZALG00000011114.1)". The record is from RNAcentral. Lineage: Eukaryota; Metazoa; Chordata; Aves; Passeriformes; Passerellidae.
CAUUUUUAGUUAAUGAGAAGCCAGCUUUAUUUAGCUCUAUUAAGCACUGCAUUUGAAGUGCUUUUAGGAUUGCAAGCCAUCAUUAUAAGUCACAACACUUGUCAAGUUAGAGGUGGGGUAUUUUUUUGGAAAGGAUAAUUAAGAACGUCUUUCAAAUGCAUCUGAUGAGUGUUUUCCUCCUUUUCCCUGGUGCCCAUAGAGUUCGCUAUCUAGUGAACUGCAGUCCGGCAGGAAGCACGAUGGCCUGGAAAGGCCACAAGAAGGAAUCUCCUGUGAAGGGACAGCAGGCAGGGAAAUUAAAUGGAAGGGCAAAGAGCAGCCACAGCAACACGCAUGUGCCGCCAGUUACCAGAAACGAUCUACCGAGUGUUAAAAAGCGCAAACAACAAGCAGGACAAAAAAGCCGAAAGCAACUUGAUUUAAGAAGAACAGGGAGAUUAGUGCUUCUUGCGGCUUGGGGACGACAGAACUGGCAAGCGGCGCUGUCAAAAUAG